Molecule: ribosomal RNA, 473 nt
Filed under: uncultured Magnetococcus sp.
Lineage: Bacteria; Pseudomonadati; Pseudomonadota; Magnetococcia; Magnetococcales; Magnetococcaceae
Description: bacterial SSU rRNA
Rfam family: Bacterial small subunit ribosomal RNA
Source: RNAcentral
UUCGGUCCGCUGACGAGUGGCGAACGGGUGAGUAACACGUGGAGACCUGUCCUAGGGUACGGGAUAACAGUUAGAAAUGACUGCUAAUACCGUAUACGUCCUACGGGAGAAAGAUUUAUUGCCCUUGGAGGGUUCCGCGUCGGAUUAGCUAGUUGGUGAGGUAACGGCUCACCAAGGCGACGAUCCGUAGCUGGUCUUAGAGGACGAUCAGCCACACUGGGACUGAGACACGGCCCAGACUCCUACGGGAGGCAGCAGUGGGGAAUAUUGCGCAAUGGGGGCAACCCUGACGCAGCGAUGCCGCGUGAGUGAAGAAGGCCUUCGGGUUGUAAAGCUCUUUCAGUAGGGAAGAUUAUGACGGUACCUACAGAAGAAGCUCCGGCUAACUCCGUGCCAGCAGCCGCGGUAAUACGGAGGGGGCAAGCGUUGUUCGGAAUUAUUGGGCGUAAAGAGCACGUAGGCUGUAAGAUAAG